CCGGCGAGUUACGAUUUGAUGCAAGGUUAAGCAGUAAAUGUGGAGCCGUAGCGAAAGCGAGUCUGAAUAGGGCGUUUAGUAUUUGGUCGUAGACCCGAAACCAGGUGAUCUACCCUUGGUCAGGUUGAAGUUCAGGUAACACUGAAUGGAGGACCGAACCGACUUACGUUGAAAAGUGAGCGGAUGAACUGAGGGUAGCGGAGAAAUUCCAAUCGAACCUGGAGAUAGCUGGUUCUCUCCGAAAUAGCUUUAGGGCUAGCCUCAAGUGAUGAUUAUUGGAGGUAGAGCACUGUUUGGACGAGGGGCCCCUCUCGGGUUACCGAAUUCAGACAAACUCCGAAUGCCAAUUAAUUUAACUUGGGAGUCAGAACAUGGGUGAUAAGGUCCGUGUUCGAAAGGGAAACAGCCCAGACCACCAGCUAAGGUCCCAAAAUAUAUGUUAAGUGGAAAAGGAUGUGGCGUUGCCCAGACAACUAGGAUGUUGGCUUAGAAGCAGCCAUCAUUUAAAGAGUGCGUAAUAGCUCACUAGUCGAGUGACACUGCGCCGAAAAUGUACCGGGGCUAAACAUAUUACCGAAGCUGUGGAUUGUCCUUUGGACAAUGGUAGGAGAGCGUUCUAAGGGCGUUGAAGCAUGAUCGUAAGGACAUGUGGAGCGCUUAGAAGUGAGAAUGCCGGUGUGAGUAGCGAAAGACGGGUGAGAAUCCCGUCCACCGAUUGACUAAGGUUUCCAGAGGAAGGCUCGUCCGCUCUGGGUUAGUCGGGUCCUAAGCUGAGGCCGACAGGCGUAGGCGAUGGAUAACAGGUUGAUAUUCCUGUACCACCUAUAAUCGUUUUAAUCGAUGGGGGGACGCAGUAGGAUAGGCGAAGCGUGCGAUUGGAUUGCACGUCUAAGCAGUAAGGCUGAGUAUUAGG
RNAcentral lists this ribosomal RNA (913 nucleotides) under Staphylococcus aureus. RNAcentral describes it as "partial 23S ribosomal RNA". It matches the Rfam family "Bacterial large subunit ribosomal RNA", at positions 620 to 1536 of the family's 2925-position model. Lineage: Bacteria; Bacillati; Bacillota; Bacilli; Caryophanales; Staphylococcaceae. The record is from RNAcentral.